Molecule: long non-coding RNA, 1865 nt
Organism: Eriocheir sinensis (Chinese mitten crab)
Lineage: Eukaryota; Metazoa; Arthropoda; Malacostraca; Decapoda; Varunidae
Exons: 2
Source: RefSeq, a predicted model, not a curated record
GCAAGAGAGCCUAGUCAAUGAAGAGGAAAAGAAGACAAGAAAACAAGAAGAAAGAAGGAAGAAGAGGCAAAAGAGGAGGAGGGGAUUUUUUUUCUGUCUAUACCUGAAGUGUCAUGAAUUUACUAAGGGUAUAUUUAAGCCUGAUAUAACGUACUUUAAGGUAUAUUUAAUGGUACAAGUGUGUAGCCUACUUUUGCCUGGAGUUGGAGACGGUAAAAUGCUCUCCGACUCCUUUAUUGUGGUGCUGUGUGGUUUGUUUACUGUGGUGCGAUGUGGGUCAUUUACUGUGGUGCGGUGUGGCUCGUUAACUGAGGUGAGGUAUGGUUCGUUUAUUGUAGUGCGGUAUGGUUCGUUUACUGUGGUGCGGUGUGGCUCGUUAAUUAAGGUGAGGUGUUGUUCAUUUAUUGUGGUGCGAUGUGGCGUUGCGGGCUUUACUUUCCCUACCACUGCACUAGACAAGGGUAAGGGGGAGGGGGUGGAGUCAAAUUUUUUUAUAUCCGACUCCACACCCAUGUUAGAGUGUAAGAGUAUUGAUCGAAUAUAUUUAAGGUGCUGGGGGAUACUGUGGUGCUCUUGUUGCGGCAACCCAUUCUGUUUCUGCAUAACCCGUACUGCUAAUGCAUAGCAACUCGUGUUUUUUUCUGCUGCCGCAACGACUCGUACUGCUAACGCAUAAUGACCUGUGCUGCUUCUGCUAUUGUAACAACUCUUACUGCAAUAACUUACUGCUGCUUCCAUUUAAAAACGUAUAAACGCAUAAACCCGCUGUGUUGCCAACUUGUCAACAACCCAACUAAUGUAUUUUCUGAUCAAAGAUCAAAGAGAGGAUUAGGCCUUCAGGGGACACCUCUUAAAUAAAAACGCGCCUGGGACUUUUACCUCAGAGGUGGUGUGGAAAAAAAGUCCAGUCACGAAAAUAAGUAUCUUAUACUUCAUGAAAGUGUCUCAGUCUUAUGAGAACACAAAGGUUGAGAGGGCUCAAACAUUCUGUUGUUUCCUGCAUAUGCUCCCAUGUUAGCAGUAAGGGUACUAAAUUCUGAUCUCUGUACAAAACAACCAAAUAAUAAGGAAAAGAAAGUUGAAUAAAAUGUUUACCUGCAUUCUACGUCAGCAGCGUAGACGUAACAAGGGUUGAAAAAAUGAGUUACUUAUUACAGCCGCUGGCCAACGUUUUGACCCCAGAGUCUUUGUGUUUGUCUCGGCGUCCUCUGCGCUACACUGCACAGAAUCUGGUUACUGUCCCUCAUGUGUUGUGUCAUUGAGGGAGUGUUUGGGUCAUUUUUAUGUUUUGAUGCCCCUUUCAUGGAUCUAAAUAAUGACAUCCACCUUAAAAUAAAUGCAUGCGUCUGUGGUCAUCCCAAAGCUGAAGGUUGGUAUCUACUCCACUGUUUUUCAUGUUUUCUCGGACAGUUCAUAUUAUUAGCAAAUGUUUUUACCCGUCCGCUGUGAUUGGCACGAAUUUCGCCUUCACUGGUAACCUGGUAACAUGUACUCCCAGAUCAUUCUCUGCCUCUGUGGUGGAUAGUGGAGUGUUUCCCAUGUGGUAUUGGUGUGCUGGAUAUCCCUUCACUGGUAGCCUGGUAACAUAUGUACUCCCAGAUCAUUCUCUGCCUCUGUGGUGGAUAGUGGAGUGCUUCCCACGUGGUACUGGUGUGCUGGAUAUCCCCUCCCAAGGUGCAGGACUAUAUAUUUUUCUUCACUGAAUUGUAGCAGCCACUUUUUGCUCCACUCCUGUAGCUUGGUGAUGUCUUCUUGUAGGAAAUCCACAGUGAAGGGUUAAAGCAAGUGAGAUUUACCUUCCCAUGCCCAGUGUAAAGAAGGGAAUCUGUAGUUGUUUGAAGGAAUAUUACCAGAUUGAUUAACUA